GACGAACGCUGGCGGUGUGCUUAACACAUGCAAGUCGAACGCUGAAGCUUGGGGGUUGCACUGGGUGGCUGAGUGGUGAACGGGUGAGUAAUACGUGAGUAACCUGCCCUUGACUCUGGGUUAAGCCUGGGAAACUGGGUCUAAUAUUGGGUACGAGAUGCUACUGCAGGGUGGUGUGUGGAAAGGGUUUUCCUGGUUUUGGAUGGGCUCGCGGCCUAUCAGCUUGUUGGUGGGGUAAUGGCCUACCAAGGCGACGACGGGUAGCCGGCCUGAGAGGGUGACCGGCCACACUGGGACUGAGACACGGCCCAGACUCCUACGGGAGGCAGCAGUGGGGAAUAUUGCACAAUGGGCGGAAGCCUGAUGCAGCGACGCCGCGUGAGGGAUGACGGCCUUCGGGUUGUAAACCUCUUUCAGCACGGAAGAAGCGAGAGUGACGGUACGUGCAGAAGAAGCGCCGGCUAACUACGUG
This 472-nucleotide ribosomal RNA is filed under the name uncultured bacterium. RNAcentral describes it as "partial 16S ribosomal RNA". It matches the Rfam family "Bacterial small subunit ribosomal RNA", at positions 28 to 507 of the family's 1533-position model. The record is from RNAcentral.